Molecule: ribosomal RNA, 433 nt
Filed under: uncultured Terriglobales bacterium
Lineage: Bacteria; Pseudomonadati; Acidobacteriota; Terriglobia; Terriglobales
Description: bacterial SSU rRNA
Rfam family: Bacterial small subunit ribosomal RNA
Source: RNAcentral
AACGCGAAGAACCUUACCCAGGCUCGAACGGCAGAUGCAAUCCCACGAAAGUGGGUUCCCGCAAGGGCGUCUGCCGAGGUGCUGCAUGGCUGUCGUCAGCUCGUGUCGUGAGAUGUUGGGUUAAGUCCCGCAACGAGCGCAACCCUUGUCCGCUGUUGCCAUCAGGUUAUGCUGGGCACUCUGCGGAGACUGCCGGUGAUAAACCGGAGGAAGGUGGGGAUGACGUCAAGUCAGCAUGGCCUUUAUGUCUGGGGCUACACACGUGCUACAAUGGCCGGUACAAACCGUCGCGAGCCCGCGAGGGGGAGCUAAUCGGAGAAAGCCGGUCUCAGUUCGGAUUGCAGGCUGCAACUCGCCUGCAUGAAGUUGGAGUCGCUAGUGAUCGCGAAUCAGAAUGUCGCGGUGAAUACGUUCCCGGGCCUUGUACACACCG